Molecule: ribosomal RNA, 253 nt
Filed under: uncultured bacterium
Lineage: Bacteria
Description: partial 16S ribosomal RNA
Rfam family: Bacterial small subunit ribosomal RNA
Source: RNAcentral
UACGUAGGGGGCAAGCGUUGUCCGGAUUUAUUGGGCGUAAAGAGCGUGUAGGCGGCCAGACAGGUCCGUUGUGAAAACUAGAGGCUUAACCUCUGGACGUCGAUGGAAACCGUCUGGCUAGAGUCCGGAAGAGGAGAAUGGAAUUCCUGGUGUAGCGGUGAAAUGCGCAGAUAUCAGGAAGAACACCCGUGGCUAAGGCGGUUCUCUAGUACGGUACUGACGCUGAGACGCGAAAGCGUGGGGAGCGAACAGG